GACGAACGCUGGCGGCGUGCUUAACACAUGCAAGUCGUACGGUAAGGCCCUUUCGGGGGUCCACGAGUGGCGAACGGGUGAGUAACACGUGAGUAACCUGCCCACAACUUUGGGAUAACGCUAGGAAACUGGUGCUAAUACUGGAUAUGUGCUCCUGCUGCAUGGUGGGGGUUGGAAAGCUCCGGCGGUUGUGGAUGGACUCGCGGCCUAUCAGCUUGUUGGUGGGGUAGUGGCCUACCAAGGCGGCGACGGGUAGCCGGCCUGAGAGGGUGACCGGCCACAUUGGGACUGAGAUAAGGCCCAGGCUCCUACGGGAGGCCGCAGUGGGGAAUAUUGAACAAUGGGCGCAAGCCUGAUGCAGCAACGCCGCGUGCAGGAUGACGGCCUUCGGGUUGUAAACCGCUUUCAGCAGGGACGAAGCUUUUUGUGACGGUACCUGCAGAAGAAGCACCGGCUAACUACGUG
This 465-nucleotide ribosomal RNA is filed under the name uncultured bacterium. RNAcentral's name for it is "partial 16S ribosomal RNA". It matches the Rfam family "Bacterial small subunit ribosomal RNA", at positions 28 to 507 of the family's 1533-position model. The record is from RNAcentral.